This is a long non-coding RNA of Leptidea sinapis, 946 nucleotides long. RefSeq lists it as uncharacterized. The transcript has 3 exons. Lineage: Eukaryota; Metazoa; Arthropoda; Insecta; Lepidoptera; Pieridae. The record is from RefSeq and is a predicted model, not a curated record.
CAAUAUUUUGCACAGACACCGCCGGUAUCGUUGCUACAAGACGUCAUCAGGCUUCUCACAAUUAUCCUCAUGGCUAUAUCGCGUGAGUCAUUUAAGUGUAAAACAAUAUAGAAAGAUCACAACUCAAUAAUAUAUUUAAUGUCAUGCACGUAUUUUGCGUCGACAGAGAGCAUAUGUUUUACGUGUAAGAAAAACAAUGAUAGUAACUUUAAAAGAGUGUUUCGUUGCAAUUGUGUUUGUUCUAAUGGGUUUCAAUGGAUCUAUAGUGGAGAUGGCAAGAACUACGAUAAGGGAAAAAGGAAUAAGUUUUAAACUGCCAACAAAUUUAACGCACGGAACAAGAAUAAUUAUUAAAGGCAAAAUGGACGUUGGAAAGGAAAUACAGGUCAUAAUCGAGGACAAAGCAAAAACUAAUAACGAGAGUUGUUGCCUUAUAUUUGAUGCAAUGAUUGAAGCCCUCACCGUUAUUAACAGCAAAAAUGUGAUCGGAACAUGGCCCUACAGUGUAUACCAUGGAGGGAAUAAGAUGGUGCCGUUCGAAGUUGGUAUGGAAGCUCGCGCUAGCCCACAGAAUGAAAGCAGUCUUUUAGACAUCUACUUCGACGGCAACAAUCAAGGAGCGUUAGCGGUCGACGCGUGCGAAUUCACAACGUUUGAGAACAUCAAAAAGAUUACCUUAAAGGGGGUACAGCAAGUUACUAAAUUGGCAUUUGAAUUUGAUUUCACAUGACUCCGAGAUGUUAUGGAAUUAAAAUUUGACAGUUCAAGUAUAUUCAAUGUAACAUGGUGUACUUGCCUCGUGAGAUAUGUGCGAAUGAGAUUCAGCGAGAUGCUGAAUACCCACCGGUCUACAGAUUCUUUUGAAGUCUUGUAUAUCCUUGACGAAUUUGGAGGAAGAUGGCGGCGGCUAAAUUGGAUGUGAAGAUUAAAUAGUUUUAAAAAUGCG